GCUCUCGUAGUGUAGUGGUCUGCACGGCGGAUUGUCGAUCCGCGAGUACGAGUUCAAUCCUCGUCGGGAGCGCCA
The sequence is a transfer RNA, 75 nucleotides long. It matches the Rfam family "tRNA". Rfam says of the family: Transfer RNA (tRNA) molecules are approximately 80 nucleotides in length. Their secondary structure includes four short double-helical elements and three loops (D, anti-codon, and T loops). Further hydrogen bonds mediate the characteristic L-shaped molecular structure. tRNAs have two regions of fundamental functional importance: the anti-codon, which is responsible for specific mRNA codon recognition, and the 3' end, to which the tRNAs corresponding amino acid is attached (by aminoacyl-tRNA synthetases). tRNAs cope with the degeneracy of the genetic code in two manners: having more than one tRNA (with a specific anti-codon) for a particular amino acid; and 'wobble' base-pairing, i.e. permitting non-standard base-pairing at the 3rd anti-codon position.